Molecule: ribosomal RNA, 468 nt
Filed under: uncultured bacterium
Lineage: Bacteria
Description: partial 16S ribosomal RNA
Rfam family: Bacterial small subunit ribosomal RNA
Source: RNAcentral
GACGAACGCUGGCGGCGUGCUUAACACAUGCGAGUCGAACGGAAAGGCCCUGCGUUUGUGGGGUUCUCGAUUGGCGAACGGGUGAGUAACACGUGAGUAACCUGCCCUUGACUUUGGGAUAACUUCAGGGAACUGGGGCUAAUACCGGAUAGGAUCUCCUGCUGCAUGGGGGGGGUUGGAAAGUUUCGGCGGUUGGGGAUGGACUCGCGGGUUAUGAGCUUGUUGGUGGGGUAGUUGCUUACCAAGGCUUUGACGGGUAGGCGGCAUGAGAGGGUGACCGGCGACAUUGGUACUGAGAGACGGAGCAGAAUGCUACGGGAGGCAGCAGUCGGGAAUAUUGCACAAUGGGCCGAAGCGUGAUGCAGCAACGCCGGGAGCGGGAUGCCGGCUUUCGGGUGGUAAACCGCUUUCGCAUGUGACGAAGCGUGAGUGACGGUAAUGGGUAAAGAAGCACCGGCUAACUACGUG